GUGGGGAAUAUUGGACAAUGGGCGAAAGCCUGAUCCAGCCAUGCCGCGUGUGUGAAGAAGGUCUUCGGAUUGUAAAGCACUUUAAGUUGGGAGGAAGGGCAGUAAGUUAAUACCUUGCUGUUUUGACGUUACCGACAGAAUAAGCACCGGCUAACUUCGUGCCAGCAGCCGCGGUAAUACGAAGGGUGCAAGCGUUAAUCGGAAUUACUGGGCGUAAAGCGCGCGUAGGUGGUUUUGUAAGUUGGAGGUAAAAUCCCCGGGCUCAACCUGGGAACUGCCUCCAAAACUGCAUGACUAGAGUACGGGAGAGGGUAGUGGAAUUUCCUGUGUAGCGGUGAAAUGCGUAGAUAUAGGAAGGAACACCAGUGGCGAAGGCGACUACCUGGACUGAUACUGACACUGAGGUGCGAAAGCGUGGGGAGCAAACAGGAUUAGAAACCCCGGUAGUCC
This 450-nucleotide ribosomal RNA is filed under the name uncultured bacterium. Its description in RNAcentral is "partial 16S ribosomal RNA". It matches the Rfam family "Bacterial small subunit ribosomal RNA", at positions 354 to 796 of the family's 1533-position model. The record is from RNAcentral.